This 440-nucleotide ribosomal RNA is filed under the name uncultured bacterium. Its description in RNAcentral is "partial 16S ribosomal RNA". It matches the Rfam family "Bacterial small subunit ribosomal RNA", at positions 338 to 795 of the family's 1533-position model. The record is from RNAcentral.
CCUACGUGUGGCAGCAGUGGGGAAUAUUGCACGAUGGGGGAACCCCUGAUGCAGCGACGCCGCGUGAGCGCAGAAGUAUUUCGGUAUGUAAAGCUCUAUCAGCAGGGAAGAAAAUGACGGUACCUGACUAAGAAGCUCCGGCUAAAUACGUGCCAGCCGCCGCUGUAAUACGUAUGGAGCAAGCGUUAUCCGGAUUUACUGGGUGUAAAGGGAGCGUAGGCGGUCAGGCAAGUCUGAUGUGAAAGGCCAGGGCUCAACCCUGGGACUGCAUUGGAAACUGUGUAACUGGAGUGGCGGAGAGGCAAGUGGAAUUCCGAGUGUAGCGGUGAAAUGCGUAGAUAUUAGGAGGAACACCAGUGGCGAAGGCGGCGUGCUGGACGAUGACUGACGCUGAGGCUCGAAAGCGUGGGGAGCAAACAGGAUUAGAUACCCUUGUAGUC